Molecule: long non-coding RNA, 447 nt
Filed under: Mytilus galloprovincialis (Mediterranean mussel)
Lineage: Eukaryota; Metazoa; Mollusca; Bivalvia; Mytilida; Mytilidae
Source: RNAcentral
GCAGCUCUUACUCUUCAAAGUAAAAAUAAGAAGACACCAACGAUGGUCUUAAACAUCUUUAGAAUAUAUUGUCAACAUCGUUUACGGUAUCGUGUCGUUAUUAUGUUUGUUUGUGUACAUUGUAUCGUAUUUAUACCUCGUUUUUUACUAUUUUACAUAAUAGACAUUUCGAUGUUGACAAUAGCCAGACAAUAUACUGUUUAUAUUGUAUACCAAGCCUAUACAUUACUGUUUAUAUCUUUCACAUCGUAGACAUUGUGUUUAUAUUGUAUACCAAGCCUAUACAUGUACAUUAGUGUUUAUAUGUUUCACCUCGUAGACAUUGUGUUUAUAUUGUAUACCAAGCCUAUACAUUAGUGUUUAUAUCUUUCACAUGGUAGACAUUGUAUUUAUAUUGUAUACCAAGCCUUUACAUUAGUGUUUAUAUCUUUCACAUCGUAGACAUUG